RNAcentral lists this long non-coding RNA (455 nucleotides) under Sus scrofa (pig). Its description in RNAcentral is "lncRNA (ENSSSCG00050003200.1, ENSSSCG00060058708.1)". The record is from RNAcentral. Lineage: Eukaryota; Metazoa; Chordata; Mammalia; Artiodactyla; Suidae.
GGUAGGCAGCAGCAGAAGAAAGGUAUACAGCCUCUUGCUUUAUAUCCCCUUGAAAAUAUCAAAGUGCAAGCAAAAAACACAAAGAGAGGAAACUACAGAAGCCACACGAUAGGAAGAAGCACCACGACUUCGAGCCAGAAAGUUGGGUGUUCAAGUCUUUGUUAUUACUUAUUACAUCUAAUUGAGAUUUCCUGUUUGGUAGUCAAGGAAAGACGAAAAUGAAAGUACCACAUUGUUAGUUCUGACCAAGGUAUUUAAAUUUUUCUUGUUGUUCACAAUGUGAUGUUAAUUUGAAGCCCUGCUUUUUUUUUUUUUUUUUUAAUGAAGCAUAUCCAUUGUGCAAGAACACGGAUAUGUUCCCUAGAAGCCAAACUAUGUGUAGAAUGCAAGGAGUGUAGUUCGUGUACAUUGCUCAUUCAAAACAAGGUGUAGUAUUUUGUGGCAUCUAAUUGACG